Long non-coding RNA from Lingula anatina, 390 nucleotides. The record is from RefSeq and is a predicted model, not a curated record. NCBI's taxonomy places the organism in Eukaryota, Metazoa, Brachiopoda, Lingulata, Lingulida, Lingulidae.
CGCAAAUAAUGCGACAUGCAUAGAGGGUGAAGAUGCAAAUCCACUUGUCUAUUACAAGUGCAAUUGUACCGAAGGUUAUUACGGAUACAAGUGCACCAUCGUUGAAUGUGGGAAAAAUGCCGUGUGCUUUAAUGCUACUAGUGGUUUACCCGUGAUUGAGAGAAAUGAUGUAUGCGAUGAAGAUAUUGGUCUUCACUGCAAAUGCAUAGAUGGAUUCGUAGGCGACGGGUUUACAUGCACCAAUAAGACGAAAUGAAGUUCUCCAAAAGGAAAUUAUCAAAGAAGAGCACAGAUGGAAGCACAAUUAAUUUCGUUGGACAUGAAUUUUAAAAUAUCUGAGAUUGGUGUGUCAAUUCAAUCAUUAUAAUUGAAAAUAAAACAUAUUGGCAU